This 177-nucleotide ribosomal RNA is filed under the name Aspergillus caespitosus. RNAcentral describes it as "5.8S ribosomal RNA". The stretch from base 22 to 175 matches the Rfam family "5.8S ribosomal RNA". From Rfam's summary of the family: 5.8S ribosomal RNA (5.8S rRNA) is a component of the large subunit of the eukaryotic ribosome. It is transcribed by RNA polymerase I as part of the 45S precursor that also contains 18S and 28S rRNA. Functionally, it is thought that 5.8S rRNA may be involved in ribosome translocation. Lineage: Eukaryota; Fungi; Ascomycota; Eurotiomycetes; Eurotiales; Aspergillaceae. The record is from RNAcentral.
CCUGAAAUAUAAAUCAGUCAAAACUUUCAACAAUGGAUCUCUUGGUUCCGGCAUCGAUGAAGAACGCAGCGAACUGCGAUAAGUAAUGUGAAUUGCAGAAUUCAGUGAAUCAUCGAGUCUUUGAACGCACAUUGCGCCCCCUGGCAUUCCGGGGGGCAUGCCUGUCCGAGCGUCAUU